AAUGAGUGGUAUGCCAAACGCUCCGGCGCCGAAGGAUGUGGCUGCGGCCGAUUAGGUAGACGGUGGGGUAACGGCCCACCGUGCCAAUAAUCGGUAUGGGUCAUGAGAGUGAGAACCCAGAGACGGAAUCUGAGACAAGAUUCCGGGCCCUACGGGGCGCAGCAGGCGCGAAACCUUUACACUGCACGACAGUGCGAUAGGGGGAUCCCAAGUGCACAGGCAUAGCGCCUGUGCUUUUCGGUACCGUAAGGUGGUACCAGAAUAAGGGCUGGGCAAGACCGGUGCCAGCCGCCGCGGUAAUACCGGCAGCCCGAGUGAUGGCCGAUCUUAUUGGGCCUAAAGCGU
This 345-nucleotide ribosomal RNA is filed under the name halophilic archaeon. RNAcentral's name for it is "bacterial SSU rRNA". It matches the Rfam family "Archaeal small subunit ribosomal RNA", at positions 174 to 518 of the family's 1478-position model. Lineage: Archaea; Methanobacteriati; Methanobacteriota; Halobacteria; Halobacteriales. The record is from RNAcentral.